This 666-nucleotide long non-coding RNA is filed under the name Dendronephthya gigantea. Its description in RNAcentral is "uncharacterized LOC114533281". The record is from RNAcentral. Lineage: Eukaryota; Metazoa; Cnidaria; Anthozoa; Malacalcyonacea; Nephtheidae.
AUCGUAUAUUCAUUGAGAUGUUUAUGCUGCUGUGUUAAAGACGUUAUGAGCGUAUUUACUCAACUAUUUUUGUACUUCUAAAUAUCCUGAACAACAACGGACUCCCAUAAGGAAAUUUCAAGGCAAUUGGUUGUGGUAUUAUCUCAGAAAUAUCUUCAGAAGCCAAAUGACGUAUUCUACUUUACUGCGAUCUCUUCAGCAAGCUGUGGUCAAAGAAAAUAUCAUUGCAAUAAUAGGUAAAGGCAGAAUUUGGAAGUGAAAUGUGCAAGAACAAAUUGGUCCAUGGUAUGGCUGGCAAAUUUCAAUCAGGAAUGCCAAAAAUUGGGCCAAGAAUUAUGUAUUGGUUCUUUCGAACAGGAUAGAAACAAGAAACAAGAUUAGCUGCACAGAGAAUCAGGGUUGAUGACUCCAUAUACAGAUGAGGACAUACAAAUAAUAAAAAAUGGCCAUGGAAGAACAUGCUGGGAAGUGAGUUUUUGUGGAUAAAUUUAUACGAACUUGACAUUGCUUGUCGAAAAUUGUAAUGUUGCAUUAUAAGAACUUGACAUUGAUUGUCGAAAAUUGUAAAUAUUAGUCUGGUUGUUUUUUGUAAAUAGUCCUGCAGGAGCAAUUGUAAAUAUGCAACUGUGACCAAAUAUAUUGAUUUUUUGUUUCCUUGUAUAAGUG